Long non-coding RNA from Lolium perenne, 2187 nucleotides. RefSeq lists it as uncharacterized. Lineage: Eukaryota; Viridiplantae; Streptophyta; Magnoliopsida; Poales; Poaceae. The record is from RefSeq and is a predicted model, not a curated record.
CACCCAAUCCCCACGCGCCUCCUUUCUCCCCAAUCCCCUCACUCCUCUGCCCAUCCCCAUCCUCUCCAAUCCGAGCUUGAUUCUCCUCCCCCAAUCGCCGGCCUCCCUCGCCCACGGCUCGGUCCCUGCUGCCGUCACAACCACCACCAGCCUCACCGCGCAAGCAGAAGCAGCAGCGCGCCAUGGUCUUCCGACGGCUGGCGCGGGAGAGAGAGGAGGCAGCGUACGAAGGAGAGCUGGCGGGGGAGGUGGAGUGGCAGCAGUAGGAAGAGGUGGACUGGAAGAUCGCCUCCUAGAAGCCUCUCUCCGCCAAGGGAUCCUGUGCCUCCUAUUGUCGCCAAGCUCCUCUGCCUCCACCGUGUCUCUCUUCGCCGUGUGUGGUGUCUAGAAGGCCAUCUUUGCUAGAACCAAGAUGGACAAAGAGGCCAAGCCACCUACGCCAUCAUCUCCUGCGUCGUGCACGGCUGCAGAGACAUACGGACGAUCAGGGGUCAUCGCCGACAUCCUUGCCCCUCAAUAUCCAUAGCAGGAACCCCUCGACACCACCAAGAGUUGACCUCGACGACAUCGUGAUCCUUUCCUUUGGCUUUCCACUUGUUAUUUAUAGCAUCAGUGAUCGACCGAGACUGCACAAAAUGAAAAUAAAACUCCACCUAUAAUUGGUGUUGCAGCCGAAACAAUCGUGAGUGUCUUAAACCUUAUGGAAGAACUAACAUUAAAGGCAUACCCAGGAUCCCAGGUAUCAUAAUUCUGCUACGCACAAGGCAAGGAAGUGCCUAAUUGGCCCCUUGCUGUAUGUUUCAGGGGUGAUUUUGUACAGAGGAAUAUGUGCACUACUAUGCUUGAUAAUGAGUUGGAAGGUAAAUUAUUCAGCCGAUCGAUUCUAAGUGUGGACUUGAAUUAGGACUCGAACCAAGGUCUGGUUAUUGUGGAAGUACCCUUAAGAGGUUUAGUUAUUGAAGGUUGACAGUGCCUUGAGAUAUGUGAGCAACCAGUGCUCUAGAGAUAUCCCUUACACUGCAACUGGAAAAACACAUGGGGUAAUCAACUAAUCUUGAAUUUCUUUAUAUUUAUUUAGCAUGAUGUAUAUUCUAAUUGUUUUUCUAAUACUUCUUAUCAUGAUGAUGAAGUGGAAUAUUUUAUCAUCCAAGAUAUUGGACUGCAAUGGUUGGACAUUUUUAAUAAACUUAGAUUGUCAUAUAUCCAUGGUUUUAAAGGCGUCGCCUAAGCGUCGCUUUAGGGACGCCUAAGCGUCCAAGCGCUCCCCCUCCGCCUUACAAAAACACCCGCCUUAAGCGCCUAGGCAUCCAAAGCGUCCGCCUAGGCGUCGCCUAAGCGUCAGAGCGCCCCCCCCUUGGCCUUAGGACGCCUUGGCGCCUUUAAAACCAUGCAGAUAUCUCAUCUUCAAGACUUUGUUGGCUAAAUUAUUCUUAUGUUUGAUAUGCUGUGUGGUGCCGGUUGCUAUACUUUGGAGCAUCUUUUCAGAUUAUAUGGUCAAAACAUGGAGCCUGGGGGGUAAGCUUAUUGCGGUUGGUGAUUUCGAGUUGUAGAAUAAGCACAUUGAGAAUAUGCAUAGCCUCCCAAUUGCAUAUGGAUGUAAAAAAUAUGGAUGCAUAAUUUAAAUGCACUGCAAAUGAAGGUAGCUGGGGAUGGAAAUAUAGAUCUUUUAUUUGGCAAACUUGAUUCUUUGUUUAUUAUAGUCUACAAAUUUCAUCUUCUUAUUGGGGACGGAAAGUAGGUCUGUGAACUCAAAUGAAAUGUAGCCAUGCCCAUGCUACUAAAUUGUAGAAUUUUAUUUGAGAAUUUUUGCUUUCUGUUUUUGGCCUUGUAGUGUUAGGUGUUCGUCAUCUAUACAGAAAACGGGCCAAAUUAUGUUACCCCAUUUACAGUUACCCGGACUUCAAUUUUUAUUUGUUACUGUCUUUUUCGACAUGUAUGCUAUGAAUUUCUUGAAGGAUAAGUCGUUUAAGUUUGGGGAAUUGCUUAACUCUUCUCUCUUCUCAUAUUUUGCUUCUUCAAUGAUAUCAUCAUCUAAGAAUGCAAAUUAUUGAUUGUUGAAAGAUUCCAUUAUUUUAGAAAGAAACUAAAGGAUAGUUCCAUUCGUGCAGUAGCAUCUUCUGAUCAGUUAUCUCUGUUUCCCAAAGCAUUUUUAGAUCUACUAAUCUUUUCUAUGUCAAAUUAUUUAAU